Molecule: RNA transcript, 2700 nt
Organism: Symphalangus syndactylus (siamang)
Lineage: Eukaryota; Metazoa; Chordata; Mammalia; Primates; Hylobatidae
Gene: ATOH8
Gene name: atonal bHLH transcription factor 8
Source: RefSeq, a predicted model, not a curated record
AGGCGGUGGCGGCGGGAGCUGCCUCCUCUCCGGGCGGCGGCGCUGACUGAUCUCGCGAACUGGGCUUCUGUGUAAACUGAGGCUAAACAAACACAGAUGGAGCGCAGCGGGCGUUCUCCAGAAAUGCUGGCAAGGCGGCAGCGACUUCAGAUGACACUCUGAGCGCUCCGGGAACGGACAGCCCAGCGGCUUCCCGAAGCCGGCGGCGCAGCUGCCCCGGGCGAGGGGGAGAAAGGGAGAGAGGGAGGGGGAGAGCGGGCGAAGGGGGAGAGCCAGAGACUCCUCGGCGCUGAGCACGGCGGCGGCCCGGGCAGCCCCACGCCCCUGCCUUGCGCGCCGCCCGCGCCAUGAAGCACAUCCCGGUCCUCGAGGACGGGCCGUGGAAGACCGUGUGCGUGAAGGAGCUGAACGGCCUCAAGAAGCUCAAGCGGAAAGGCAAGGAGCCGGCGCGGCGCGCGAACGGCUAUAAAACUUUCCGACUGGACUUGGAAGCGCCCGAGCCCCGCGCCGUCGCCACCAACGGGCUGCGGGACAGGACCCAUCGGCUGCAGCCCGUCCCGAUCCCGGUGCCGGUGCCAGUCCCAGUGGCGCCGGCCGUUCCCCCAAGAGGGGGCACGGACACAGCCGGGGAGCGCGGGGGCUCCCGGGCGCCCGAGGUCUCUGACGCGCGGAAACGCGGCUUCGCCCUCGGCGCAGUGGGGCCAGGACUCCCCACGCCGCCGCCGCCGCCGCCGCCGCCGCCGCCGCCGCCUCCUGCUCCCCAGAGCCAGGCACCUGGGGGCCCAGAGGCACAGCCUUUCCGGGAGCCGGGUCUGCGUCCUCGCAUCUUGCUGUGCGCACCGCCCGCGCGCCCCGCGCCGUCAGCACCCCCAGCACCGCCAGCGCCUCCGGAGUCCACUGUGCGCCCUGCGCCCCCAACGCGCCCCGGGGAAAGUUCCUACUCGUCAAUUUCACACGUAAUUUACAAUAACCACCCGGAUUCCUCCGCGUCGCCUAGGAAACGACCAGGCGAAGCGACUGCCGCCUCCUCCGAGAUCAAAGCCCUGCAGCAGACCCGGAGGCUCCUGGCGAACGCCAGGGAGCGGACGCGGGUGCACACCAUCAGCGCAGCCUUCGAGGCGCUCAGGAAGCAGGUGCCGUGCUACUCGUAUGGGCAGAAGCUGUCCAAACUGGCCAUCCUGAGGAUCGCCUGUAACUACAUCCUGUCCCUGGCGCGGCUGGCUGACCUCGACUACAGUGCCGACCACAGCAACCUCAGCUUCUCCGAGUGUGUGCAGCGCUGCACCCGCACCCUGCAGGCCGAGGGACGUGCCAAGAAGCGCAAGGUCCCUGGGGAGCUUGGAGGCCAGAAGCCCAGGCCUUGCGCCUGUGCCCAGAAUAACCUCUGCAAAGCCUGGCCCUUGGAGAAGAUGUGAAAGCAGAUCUGUCAAAUGCAAGGAUGUCCAGGCUUGAGUGUUAAAGAAAACACCAACGCAGCUUAUGAUGCAGCUUGUACAGCGUAAUUCCACUUUUCGUAAAAUACUGAGUGACUGGCUGCAGGCAAGACCAAGGCCACCACUGUGGGCCCUCCUUCCAGUCAGGCCUGAGGACAAGGUGAGCUCGCUGAGUCCAGCCUCGUGGUCUUCUCCAAGAUGCCGCCAGAUGCCCAGCAUACAGCCUCUCAGGGUCGGAUCGGAGCACACCUGCCUCCCUCUCCCCUCCGCCCUCACCCAGCCGCUCCGAGGCUGCUUCACACUUUGCCCUCUGCCUGGUGGGGAGGGGAGAGCUCAGCCCCCCCACUCAGACCCCAAGGCCCACUGUCCAGCUGCAGAAAUUCGUUGCCAAAGAUUGGACAGAGACACCGAAGGAAAUGGGGUGAUGAAACCCCACAGCGAAAAGCCACACCGUUGCUCUGUGACUUUUGCUCCUCCUGUUGCCUGAGCCCCAUCUCAAGCCAAAGAUGAGUCAGUGGUUCUGCCAGGAACUCAUGGAAGGGAUGGGCAUUUGAUGACCCCUGGGGGUCAUCUUGGCCCUCUGACCUGGCGCUCUCUCUCCACUGGGCCUUGCGCUGGCUGAGUGCAAGACAAGCCUUAGGGGCUGUGAGAGGGAGGCUGGGGUGCCUGGGCGAGGCCGGGAGUGGGGCCCAAGAUCCCUGCCCACUCUCUCCCCUUCAUUGGCUGCCCAGGCCGCUGGCCCCAGUUCUCAGUGUCCCCUGGGUCCAGGCUCCUUGGGCCCUGAGCAUUACCAGAAGGGAGUAAGCAGGGAGAGAAGCAAUAUUACUCCCUCCCCUACACCAGGGACUUGCCCCAGGGCAGCUCCCUAUGGGUCUUUGCUCCCCCAGCCAGCCUCUCCUUACUGUGACCCACCCCCAUGGGCCCCCAUCCCAGGCAGCCAGCACCAUGGGCAGGCCCUGCCAUGGACAGAAAAAGAGUUUUUCUCUUGUUCAGCCUGCCCGUGGCCUGAGGAAGGAGUGGAGGCUGGGUUGGCUGGAGCAGUCCUACUGGGCAAGAUGGCGCCCCACUUGGAGGGCGGUGGUCUGUUACAGGGUGUGCAGGGGCAGAGGAGGAAGGGACCAGGGGACUGGGCCAGUAUGUGGAGGACGGGGGGUGUGUUCAAAGCCAAGGCCUGCCCCUUCCUUGUGCUCAAAUGGCCAAAGCUGUUCACGUCUGUGCUCAACCAUCUGCUUCAAAUUGAAGUAAAAGCCCCAAAAUGUCAAGAAAA